UAGCAUAUCAAUAAGCGGAGGAAAAGAAACCAACAGGGAUUGCCUCAGUAACGGCGAGUGAAGCGGCAACAGCUCAAAUUUGAAAUCUGGCCUCUCGGGGUCCGAGUUGUAAUUUGUAGAGGAUGUUUCGGGUACCGCCUCGGUUUAAAUUUCUUGGAACAGAAUGUCAAAGAGGGUGAGAAUCCCGUCUUGGACCGGCGGUAGGGCCUAUGUGAAACUCCUUCGACGAGUCGAGUUGUUUGGGAAUGCAGCUCAAAAUGGGUGGUAAAUUUCAUCUAAAGCUAAAUAUUGGCCAGAGACCGAUAGCGCACAAGUAGAGUGAUCGAAAGAUGAAAAGCACUUUGAAAAGAGAGUUAAACAGUAUGUGAAAUUGUUGAAAGGGAAGCGCUUGCAACCAGACUUGAGCGCGGCGGUUCCCCCUUGCUUCUGCUUGGGUUACUCCGCCGUGUCCAGGCCAACAUCGGUUCUGGGGGUCGGUCAAAGGCCUUGGGAAUGUAUCUACCCACGGGUAGACUUAUAGACCAGGGUGUCAUGCGACCUCCCGGGACCGAGGAACGCGCUUCGGCUCGGAUGUUGGCGUAAUGGUUGUCAGCGACCCGUCUUGAAACACGGACCAAGGAGUCUAACAUCUAUGCGAGUGUUUGGGUGUCAAACCCGGAACGCGGAAUGAAAGUGAACGGAGGUAGGAAGCUUCGGCUGCACUAUCGACCGAUCCUGAAGUUUACGGAUGGAUUUGAGUAAGAGCAUAGCUGUUGGGACCCGAAAGAUGGUGAACUAUGCCUGAAUAGGGUGAAGCCAGAGGAAACUCUGGUGGAGGCUCGCAGCGGUUCUGACGUGCAAAUCGAUCGUCAAAUUUAGGUAUAGGGGCGAAAGACUAAUCGAACCAUCUGGUAGCUGGUUCCUGCCGA
RNAcentral lists this ribosomal RNA (908 nucleotides) under Cladophialophora immunda. RNAcentral's name for it is "LSU rRNA". It matches the Rfam family "Eukaryotic large subunit ribosomal RNA", at positions 36 to 964 of the family's 3401-position model. The record is from RNAcentral. Lineage: Eukaryota; Fungi; Ascomycota; Eurotiomycetes; Chaetothyriales; Herpotrichiellaceae.